Molecule: long non-coding RNA, 606 nt
Organism: Neltuma alba
Lineage: Eukaryota; Viridiplantae; Streptophyta; Magnoliopsida; Fabales; Fabaceae
Exons: 3
Source: RefSeq, a predicted model, not a curated record
AGCUGUUUGCUGUUGGAUCAAUAAAUCUCACGGCGGCAGAAGCAGCUCGAUAGUGUGAACGUUAACUGUGCAUUAUUUCCCUUGUAUAAAUUAAAGAAUGUGGACCUGAUUCUCAAUGCAUACCUCUAAUCUCUAAUGAUUUGUAAAAUGAAGAAUGUAACUUGUGAGAUAAGCCUGUCAAGAUGUUAAUGUCUACAAUGAGAACAACUACGUCGUAAGUUUUUUCAGAAUGUGUUGAAAUAUGAGCACAAGGUCUCAUCCGAGGGAUGAAGCUUGUGAAGACCUGAGAGGAUUUGGUUGAGCGAACUUUCUGAUUCUUUGAUGGAACAUGCCUCCUUUCAGAUUCUGCUGAGGAAUAAUGAACAAGAGGCCUAAGAAAGCAUGUAUGAUUUAUAUACAUUGAGGGUUGUAGUGGCAAGUUUUUUGGCAGCAGUUGCAGACUAUACUAAAUUUAUACCUGCCACUACUUUUGUUCGUUUUGCAUGAAAUGUUUUGUUCUCGUUUGCUUUCUCAAUUUCCCACCAACUUCUUCGUAACGUGAUCCUGAGGACUGUGGAUCAACACUUUUGCCUAGAAGCUGAUGCUUGAGUGCUCGAUCAGGGUUAU